AUGACNUGUACCUGAAGAAUAAGCAUCGGCUAACUCCGUGCCAGCAGCCGCGGUAAGACGGAGGAUGCAAGUGUUAUCCGGAAUCACUGGGCGUAAAGCGUCUGUAGGUGGUUUAAUAAGUCAACUGUUAAAUCUUGAGGCUUAACCUCAAAAUCGCAGUCGAAACUAUUAGACUAGAGUAUAGUAGGGGUAAAGGGAAUUUCCAGUGGAGCGGUGAAAUGCGUANAUNUUGNAAAGAACACCGAUGGCGAAGGCACUUUACUGGGCUAUUACUGACACUCANAGACNAAAGCUAGGGUAGCAAAUGGGAUUAGAUACCCCAGUAGUCCUAGCUGUAAACCAUGGAUACUAGAUGUUGAACAGAUCGACCUGCGCAGUAUCAAAGCUAACGCGUUAAGUAUCCCGCCUGGGAAGUAUGCUCGCAAGGGUGAAACUCAAANGAAUUGACG
RNAcentral lists this ribosomal RNA (449 nucleotides) under uncultured bacterium. Its description in RNAcentral is "bacterial SSU rRNA". It matches the Rfam family "Bacterial small subunit ribosomal RNA", at positions 469 to 915 of the family's 1533-position model. The record is from RNAcentral.